GGUUAAGCGACUAAGCGUACACGGUGGAUGCCUAGGCAGUCAGAGGCGAUGAAGGGCGUGCUAAUCUGCGAUAAGCGUCGGUAAGCUGAUAUGAAGCGUUAUACCCGACGAUACCCGAAUGGGGAAACCCAAUGUGUUUCGACACAUUAUCAUUACGUGAAUACAUAGCGUAAUGAGGCGAACCGGGGGAACUGAAACAUCUCAGUACCCCGAGGAAAAGAAAUCAACCGAGAUUCCCCUAGUAGCGGCGAGCGAACGGGGAGGAGCCCAGAACCUGAAUCAGUUUGUGUGUUAGUGGAAGCGUCUGGAAAGUCGCACAGUAAAGGGUGAUAGUCCCGUACACAAAAAUGCACAGAUUGUGAGUUCGAUGAGUAGGGCGGGACACGUGACAUCCUGUCUGAAUAUGGGGGGACCAUCCUCCAAGGCUAAAUACUCCUGACUGACCGAUAGUGAACCAGUACCGUGAGGGAAAGGCGAAAAGAACCCCGGCGAGGGGAGUGAAAUAGAACCUGAAACCGUGUACGUACAAGCAGUGGGAGCCUUGAUUAAUCAGGGUGACUGCGUACCUUUUGUAUAAUGGGUCAGCGACUUAUAUUCUGUAGCAAGGUUAACCGAAUAGGGGAGCCGCAGGGAAACCGAGUCUUAACUGGGCGUUAAGUUGCAGGGUAUAGACCCGAAACCCGGUGAUCUAGCCAUGGGCAGGUUGAAGGUUGGGUAACACUAACUGGAGGACCGAACCGACUAAUGUUGAAAAAUUAGCGGAUGACUUGUGGCUGGGGGUGAAAGGCCAAUCAAACCGGGAGAUAGCUGGUUCUCCCCGAAAGCUAUUUAGGUAGCGCCUCGUGAACUCAUCUUCGGGGGUAGAGCACUGUUUCGGCUAGGGGGUCAUCCCGACUUACCAACCCGAUGCAAACUACGAAUACCGAAGAAUGUUAUCACGGGAGACACACGGCGGGUGCUAACGUUCGUCGUGAAGAGGGAAACAACCCAGACCGCCAGCUAAGGUCCCAAAGUCAUGGUUAAGUGGGAAACGAUGUGGGAAGGCACAGACAGCCAGGAUGUUGGCUUAGAAGCAGCCAUCAUUUAAAGAAAGCGUAAUAGCUCACUGGUCGAGUCGGCCUGCGCGGAAGAUGUAACGGGGCUAAACCAUGCACCGAAGCUGCGGCAGCGACACUUAGGUGUUGUUGGGUAGGGGAGCGUUCUGUAAGCCGUCGAAGGUGACCUGUGAGGGUUGCUGGAGGUAUCAGAAGUGCGAAUGCUGACAUAAGUAACGAUAAUGCGGGUGAAAAACCCGCACGCCGGAAGACCAAGGGUUCCUGUCCAACGUUAAUCGGGGCAGGGUGAGUCGACCCCUAAGGCGAGGCUGAAAAGCGUAGUCGAUGGGAAACAGGUUAAUAUUCCUGUACUCGGUGUUACUGCGAAGGGGGGACGGAGAAAGCUAGGUUAUCCGGGCGACGGUUGUCCCGGUUUAAGCGUGAAGGUGGAUGACUUAGGUAAAUCCGGGUCAUCGUUAACACUGAGGCGUGAUGACGAGUCACUACGGUGAUGAAGUAACC
This 1556-nucleotide ribosomal RNA is filed under the name Pectobacterium atrosepticum. RNAcentral describes it as "partial 23S ribosomal RNA". It matches the Rfam family "Bacterial large subunit ribosomal RNA", at positions 1 to 1595 of the family's 2925-position model. Lineage: Bacteria; Pseudomonadati; Pseudomonadota; Gammaproteobacteria; Enterobacterales; Pectobacteriaceae. The record is from RNAcentral.